GGAUGUGAUCAUACCAGCACUAACGCACCGGAUCCCAUCAGAACUCCGACGUUAAGCGUGCUUGGGCAAAAGUAGUACUAGGAUGGGUGACCCCUGGGAAGUCCUCGUGUUGCAUCCC
This 118-nucleotide ribosomal RNA is filed under the name Nicotiana attenuata. The record is from RNAcentral. Lineage: Eukaryota; Viridiplantae; Streptophyta; Magnoliopsida; Solanales; Solanaceae.